CCUACGGGUGGCUGCAGUGGGGAAUAUUGGACAAUGGGCGAAAGCCUGAUCCAGCCAUGCCGCGUGUGUGAAGAAGGCCUUCGGGUUGUAAAGCACUUUCAGUGGGGAAGAAAGCCUUGGGGCUAAUACCCUCGAGGAAGGAAAUCACCCACAGAAGAAGCACCGGCUAACUCCGUGCCAGCAGCCGCGGUAAUACGGAGGGUGCGAGCGUUAAUCGGAAUUACUGGGCGUAAAGCGCGCGUAGGCGGUCUGAUAAGCCGGUUGUGAAAGCCCCGGGCUCAACCUGGGAACGGCAUCCGGAACUGUCAGGCUAGAGUGCAGGAGAGGAAGGUAGAAUUCCCGGUGUAGCGGUGAAAUGCGUAGAGAUCGGGAGGAAUACCAGUGGCGAAGGCGGCCUUCUGGACUGACACUGACGCUGAGGUGCGAAAGCGUGGGUAGCAAACAGGAUUAGAUACCCCUGUAGUC
RNAcentral lists this ribosomal RNA (465 nucleotides) under Vreelandella stevensii. Its description in RNAcentral is "partial 16S ribosomal RNA". It matches the Rfam family "Bacterial small subunit ribosomal RNA", at positions 338 to 795 of the family's 1533-position model. Lineage: Bacteria; Pseudomonadati; Pseudomonadota; Gammaproteobacteria; Oceanospirillales; Halomonadaceae. The record is from RNAcentral.